Molecule: ribosomal RNA, 1468 nt
Filed under: uncultured organism
Description: SSU rRNA
Rfam family: Bacterial small subunit ribosomal RNA
Source: RNAcentral
UGUUGGCGUGCCUAAUACAUGCAAGUCGAACGCUUCUUUUUCCACCGGAGCUUGCUCCACCGGAAAAAGAGGAGUGGCGAACGGGUGAGUAACACGUGGGUAACCUGCCCAUCAGAAGGGGAUAACACUUGGAAGCAGGUGCUAAUACCGUAUAACAAUCGAAACCGCAUGGUUUUGAUUUGAAAGGCGCUUUCGGGUGUCGCUGAUGGAUGGACCGCGGUGCAUUAGCUAGUUGGUGAGGUAACGGCUCACCAAGGCCACGAUGCAUAGCCGACCUGAGAGGGUGAUCGGCCACAUUGGGACUGAGACACGGCCCAAACUCCUACGGGAGGCAGCAGUAGGGAAUCUUCGGCAAUGGACGAAAGUCUGACCGAGCAACGCCGCGUGAGUGAAGAAGGUUUUCGGAUCGUAAAACUCUGUUGUUAGAGAAGAACAAGGGUGAGAGUAACUGUUCAUCCCUUGACGGUAUCUAACCAGAAAGCCACGGCUAACUACGUGCCAGCAGCCGCGGUAAUACGUAGGUGGCAAGCGUUGUCCGGAUUUAUUGGGCGUAAAGCGAGCGCAGGCGGUUUCUUAAGUCUGAUGUGAAAGCCCCCGGCUCAACCGGGGAGGGUCAUUGGAAACUGGGAGACUUGAGUGCAGAAGAGGAGAGUGGAAUUCCAUGUGUAGCGGUGAAAUGCGUAGAUAUAUGGAGGAACACCAGUGGCGAAGGCGGCUCUCUGGUCUGUAACUGACGCUGAGGCUCGAAAGCGUGGGGAGCAAACAGGAUUAGAUACCCUGGUAGUCCACGCCGUAAACGAUGAGUGCUAAGUGUUGGAGGGUUUCCGCCCUUCAGUGCUGCAGCUAACGCAUUAAGCACUCCGCCUGGGGAGUACGACCGCAAGGUUGAAACUCAAAGGAAUUGACGGGGGCCCGCACAAGCGGUGGAGCAUGUGGUUUAAUUCGAAGCAACGCGAAGAACCUUACCAGGUCUUGACAUCCUUUGACCACUCUAGAGAUAGAGCUUCCCCUUCGGGGGCAAAGUGACAGGUGGUGCAUGGUUGUCGUCAGCUCGUGUCGUGAGAUGUUGGGUUAAGUCCCGCAACGAGCGCAACCCUUAUUGUUAGUUGCCAUCAUUCAGUUGGGCACUCUAGCAAGACUGCCGGUGACAAACCGGAGGAAGGUGGGGAUGACGUCAAAUCAUCAUGCCCCUUAUGACCUGGGCUACACACGUGCUACAAUGGGAAGUACAACGAGUCGCGAAGUCGCGAGGCUAAGCUAAUCUCUUAAAGCUUCUCUCAGUUCGGAUUGCAGGCUGCAACUCGCCUGCAUAAAGCCGGAAUCGCUAGUAAUCGCGGAUCAGCACGCCGCGGUGAAUACGUUCCCGGGCCUUGUACACACCGCCCGUCACACCACGAGAGUUUGUAACACCCGAAGUCGGUGAGGUAACCUUUUGGAGCCAGCCGCCUAAGGUGGGAUAGAUGAUUGG